GAAUCAACGCUGGCGGCGUGCCUAAUACAUGCAAGUCGAACGCGAAAGUCCCGCAAGGGGCAAGUAGAGUGGCAAACGGGUGAGUAACGCGUGGGCGACCUACCUUCGAGUGGGGGAUAACCUUCCGAAAGGAGGGCUAAUACCGCAUGACAGCCUCUGUUUGGAUACAGGGGACUCAAAGCCGGGGAUCGCAAGACCUGGCGCUUGGAGAGGGGCCCGCGUCCGAUUAGCUAGUUGGUGGGGUAACGGCUCACCAAGGCUUCGAUCGGUAUCCGGCCUGAGAGGGCGGACGGACACACUGGGACUGAGACACGGCCCAGACUCCUACGGGAGGCAGCAGUAGGGAAUUGUUCGCAAUGGGCGCAAGCCUGACGACGCAACGCCGCGUGGAGGAUGAAGACCUUCGGGUCGUAAACUCCUUUCGACCGAGAUGAAUUCUCGCCGGCCUAAUACGCCGGCGGGGUGACAGUAUCGAGGGAAGCAGCCCCGGCUAACUCCGUGCCAGCAGCCGCGGUAAUACGGGGGGGGCAAGCGUUGUUCGGAAUUACUGGGCGUAAAGGGUUCGUAGGUGGCCAACUAAGUCAGACGUGAAAUCCCUCAGCUUAACUGGGGAACUGCGUCUGAUACUGGUUGGCUUGAGUGCAGGAGAGGAACGCGGAAUUCCAGGUGUAGCGGUGAAAUGCGUAGAUAUCUGGAGGAACACCGGUGGCGAAGGCGGCGUUCUGGACUGCAACUGACACUGAGGAACGAAAGCCAGGGGAGCAAACGGGAUUAGAUACCCCGGUAGUCCUGGCCCUAAACGAUGAAUGCUUGGUGUGGCGGGUAUCGAUCCCUGCCGUGCCGUAGUUAACGCGUUAAGCAUUCCGCCUGGGGAGUACGGUCGCAAGGC
RNAcentral lists this ribosomal RNA (889 nucleotides) under uncultured bacterium. Its description in RNAcentral is "bacterial SSU rRNA". It matches the Rfam family "Bacterial small subunit ribosomal RNA", at positions 27 to 894 of the family's 1533-position model. The record is from RNAcentral.